This 343-nucleotide long non-coding RNA is filed under the name Triticum aestivum (bread wheat). Its description in RNAcentral is "long non-coding RNA (TAES_LNC000106)". Lineage: Eukaryota; Viridiplantae; Streptophyta; Magnoliopsida; Poales; Poaceae. The record is from RNAcentral.
UGAAACAGAGGUUCAUAUUUUCUUUAUCUUUUAUCCUAUGACUAUUUAUUUAUGCUCUUUCUUUUACCAUCUCAGUAGUUCAAUCUUUUUUGUUCAUUGUAGGGUUCUCCAAAUAGGACCUCUCGGCGGGACUCAAAACGGGCUGCUAAGCGGAAUGAGCUGGCAUCUUCAGGCUUUUCUAGUUGCACAAGAGUACGUGAUUAGUUGGCAUCCUCAGCAUUUCUAGUUGCACAAUACCAUCCGACUAGUUGACAUCCUCAGUCCUUUUGUAGCUGCGUUGACACCCUCAGCAUUUUCUUCUAGAAGCCUGGAACCUGAAUGUGCACUUUUUUUGAUUGGUCAU